Molecule: ribosomal RNA, 491 nt
Filed under: uncultured bacterium
Lineage: Bacteria
Description: partial 16S ribosomal RNA
Rfam family: Bacterial small subunit ribosomal RNA
Source: RNAcentral
AGUGAACGCUGGCGGUAGGCCUAACACAUGCAAGUCGAACGGCAGCACAGUAAGGGCUUGCUCUUACGGGUGGCGAGUGGCGGACGGGUGAGGAAUACAUCGGAAUCUACUUUUUCGUGGGGGAUAACGUAGGGAAACUUACGCUAAUACCGCAUACGACCUACGGGUGAAAGCAGGGGAUCUUCGGACCUUGCGCGAUUGAAUGAGCCGAUGUCGGAUUAGCUAGUUGGCGGGGUAAAGGCCCACCAAGGCGACGAUCCGUAGCUGGUCUGAGAGGAUGAUCGGCCACACUGGAACUGAGACACGGUCCAGACUCCUACGGGAGGCAGCAGUGGGGAAUAUUGGACAAUGGGCGCAAGCCUGAUCCAGCCAUACCGCGUGGGUGAAGAAGGCCUUCGGGUUGUAAAGCCCUUUUGUUGGGAAAGAAAAGCAGCAGGUUAAUACCCCGCUGUUCUGACGGUACCCAAAGAAUAAGCACCGGCUAACUUCGU